GCCCAGCCCCCGCGAUGAGGACGCGCUCGGGACACUCACGUUUUCUGCACCGGCUUCCGCCGCUUGCGACUGGCGUAGGUGAUGUUGGCGCUGCUGCUGUUCAUGGUGCCCAGCCGACGGCGGCGGCUACUCCCCGGGCACUGGCGGCCGGGUCCCCGGAACCCGGUGUAGGCUGGGACCACUGCGGCGGCCGGCGCCGGGUUCCGCGAAGCCGCGCCCGCUCCACCUGCGUCCUCUCGGGACAGUGGCGUGGGCGCCGCGCCUCAACGCCUCGGCUCACGCAGGCUUCCGCAGCCCGCGCCAGUACAGUGUUGUGAACCACUUGUCAUGGGAUAACCAAAAUUAAACCUGGAAUCGCAGAAGAAACAAAUUUUUUGAAGAAAUUGGAUGUACUUUUUUAAAAUUUUUCAUUCAACUAAAACUUUGUUAACUGUUUCUUGGUUGUGGUCUUCUCUAAAUUGUAAUCUUUGGCAUUCACUUCCAAAGUAUCCACCACUAAACUUCAUAACAUUUAUUGUGUCUCUUCAUCAUUAAACUUUGAUGAAUUUACAGAGUGUCUUUUGAAAUUAUGUUCUUGAGAAAGGUAAGUUCCCUAAAAAUCCCACCACCUCAGGAACAGAAUUUUCUAAAACUGUUGUAUCUACCUAAGUUACCUAUUUUUGUCUUUUGUCUGGAGUCCACUUGUCCUCAAAACAAAAUUAAUGUUGUAUUCCCUUUUGGUCAAGGACACAUUAAACAUUUCGUGCAGCAUGCACAUUUUUCAGGGA
RNAcentral lists this long non-coding RNA (767 nucleotides) under Homo sapiens (human). RNAcentral's name for it is "novel transcript". The record is from RNAcentral. Lineage: Eukaryota; Metazoa; Chordata; Mammalia; Primates; Hominidae.